Molecule: non-coding RNA, 122 nt
Filed under: human gut metagenome
Description: FMN riboswitch (RFN element)
Rfam family: FMN riboswitch aptamer (RFN element)
About the family: The RFN element is a highly conserved domain that is found frequently in the 5'-untranslated regions of prokaryotic mRNAs that encode for flavin mononucleotide (FMN) biosynthesis and transport proteins. This element is a metabolite-dependent riboswitch that directly binds FMN in the absence of proteins.
Source: RNAcentral
UGUCUUCGGGGCGGGGCGAAAAUCCCCACCGGCGGUGUUGCGGUCGCGUUUGACCGCUUUCCUUGGCGCAGCCGAUUUGGUGAGAUUCCAAAGCCGACGGUACAGUCCGGAUGAAAGAAGAU